RNAcentral lists this ribosomal RNA (497 nucleotides) under uncultured bacterium. RNAcentral's name for it is "partial 16S ribosomal RNA". It matches the Rfam family "Bacterial small subunit ribosomal RNA", at positions 28 to 507 of the family's 1533-position model. The record is from RNAcentral.
GAUGAACGCUGGCGGCGUGCCUAAUACAUGCAAGUCGAGCGAACGGACGAGAAGCUUGCUUCUCUGGUGUUAGCGGCGGACGGGUGAGUAACACGUGGAUAACCUACCUAUAAGACUGGGAUAACUUCGGGAAACCGGAGCUAAUACCGGAUGAUAUUUUGAACCGCAUGGUUCAAAGGUGAAAGACGGUCUUGCUGUCACUUAUAGAUGGAUCCGCGCUGCAUUAGCUAGUUGGUAAGGUAACGGCUUACCAAGGCAACGAUGCAUAGCCGACCUGAGAGGGUGAUCGGCCACACUGGAACUGAGACACGGUCCAGACUCCUACGGGAGGCAGCAGUAGGGAAUCUUCCGCAAUGGGCGAAAGCCUGACGGAGCAACGCCGCGUGAGUGAUGAAGGUCUUCGGAUCGUAAAACUCUGUUAUUAGGGAAGAACAUAUGUGUAAGUAACUGUGCACAUCUUGACGGUACCUAAUCAGAAAGCCACGGCUAACUACGUG